UACAGAGGUGGCAAGCGUUGUUCGGAAUUACUGGGCGUAAAGGGCGAGUAGGCGGCCUUCUAAGUCAGACGUGAAAUCCCCCGGCUUAACCUGGGAACUGCGUCUGAUACUGGGAGGCUUGAGUAUGGGAGAGGGAUGUAGAAUUCCAGGUGUAGGCGGUAGAAAUGCGCAGAUAGUCAGGAGGAACACCGGUGGCGAAGGCGCCACUCUGGGCCGAAACUGACGCUGAGGAGCGAAAGCGUGGGGAGCAAACAGG
This 256-nucleotide ribosomal RNA is filed under the name uncultured bacterium. RNAcentral's name for it is "partial 16S ribosomal RNA". It matches the Rfam family "Bacterial small subunit ribosomal RNA", at positions 524 to 776 of the family's 1533-position model. The record is from RNAcentral.